RNAcentral lists this ribosomal RNA (477 nucleotides) under uncultured bacterium. RNAcentral describes it as "bacterial SSU rRNA". It matches the Rfam family "Bacterial small subunit ribosomal RNA", at positions 356 to 831 of the family's 1533-position model. The record is from RNAcentral.
GAGGAAUAUUGGUCAAUGGGCGGGAGCCUGAACCAGCCAAGCCGCGUGAGGGAGGAAGGCCCUACGGGUCGUAAACCUCUUUUGUCAGGGAACAAAAGGCCCUACGUGUGGGGCUCCGAGCGUACCUGAAGAAAAAGCAUCGGCUAACUCCGUGCCAGCAGCCGCGGUAAUACGGAGGAUGCGAGCGUUAUCCGGAUUUAUUGGGUUUAAAGGGUGCGUAGGCGGCAAGUCAAGUCAGCGGUAAAAGCCCGGGGCUCAACCCCGGCGAGCCGUUGAAACUGACGGGCUAGAGACGGCGAGAGGUACGCGGAAUGCGCAGUGUAGCGGUGAAAUGCAUAGAUAUUGCGCAGAACUCCGAUUGCGAAGGCAGCGUACUGGCGCCGGACUGACGCUGAGGCACGAAAGCGUGGGGAUCGAACAGGCUUAGAUACCCUGGUAGUCCACGCAGUAAACGAUGAAUGCCGGCUGUUCGGGUCG